RNAcentral lists this ribosomal RNA (261 nucleotides) under uncultured archaeon. RNAcentral's name for it is "partial 16S ribosomal RNA". It matches the Rfam family "Archaeal small subunit ribosomal RNA", at positions 748 to 1009 of the family's 1478-position model. The record is from RNAcentral.
UAGCCGUAAACGAUACUCGCUAGGUGUCGGCCACGGUGCGACCGUUGUCGGUGCCGUAGGGAAGCCGUGAAGCGAGCCACCUGGGAAGUACGGCCGCAAGGCUGAAACUUAAAGGGAUUGGCGGGGGAGCACCACAACGGGUGGAGCUUGCGGUUUAAUUGGAUUCAACGCCGGAAAUCUUACCGGGACCGACAGCAACAUGAAGGCCAGGCUGAAGACUUUGCCGGAUUAGCUGAGAGGAGGUGCAUGGCGUAGACGUCU